This 497-nucleotide ribosomal RNA is filed under the name uncultured bacterium. Its description in RNAcentral is "partial 16S ribosomal RNA". It matches the Rfam family "Bacterial small subunit ribosomal RNA", at positions 28 to 507 of the family's 1533-position model. The record is from RNAcentral.
GAUGAACGCUGGCGGCGUGCCUAAUACAUGCAAGUCGAGCGAACAGACGAGGAGCUUGCUCCUCUGACGUUAGCGGCGGACGGGUGAGUAACACGUGGAUAACCUACCUAUAAGACUAGGAUAACUUCGGGAAACCGGAGCUAAUACCGGAUAACAUGUUGAACCGCAUGGUUCAACAGUGAAAGACGGUCUUGCUGUCACUUAUAGAUGGAUCCGCGCCGCAUUAGCUAGUUGGUAAGGUAACGGCUUACCAAGGCAACGAUGCGUAGCCGACCUGAGAGGGUGAUCGGCCACACUGGAACUGAGACACGGUCCAGACUCCUACGGGAGGCAGCAGUAGGGAAUCUUCCGCAAAGGGCGAAAGCCUGACGGAGCAACGCCGCGUGAGUGAAGAAGGUCUUCGGAUCGUAAAACUCUGUUAUUAGGGAAGAACAAAUGUGUAAGUAACUAUGCACGUCUUGACGGUACCUAAUCAGAAAGCCACGGCUAACUACGUG